Molecule: ribosomal RNA, 458 nt
Filed under: uncultured bacterium
Lineage: Bacteria
Description: partial 16S ribosomal RNA
Rfam family: Bacterial small subunit ribosomal RNA
Source: RNAcentral
UGGGGAAUUUUGGACAAUGGGGGCAACCCUGAUCCAGCAAUGCCGCGUGUGUGAAGAAGGCCUUCGGGUUGUAAAGCACUUUUGUCCGGAAAGAAAACGCCGUGGUUAAUACCCGUGGCGGAUGACGGUACCGGAAGAAUAAGCACCGGCUAACUACGUGCCAGCAGCCGCGGUAAUACGUAGGGUGCAAGCGUUAAUCGGAAUUACUGGGCGUAAAGCGUGCGCAGGCGGUCCGCUAAGACAGAUGUGAAAUCCCCGGGCUUAACCUGGGAACUGCAUUUGUGACUGGCGGGCUAGAGUAUGGCAGAGGGGGGUAGAAUUCCACGUGUAGCAGUGAAAUGCGUAGAGAUGUGGAGGAUACCGAUGGCGAAGGCAGCCCCCUGGGCCAAUACUGACGCUCAUGCACGAAAGGCGUGGGGGAGCAAACAGGAUUCAGAUACCCUGGUAGUCCACGCCCU